This 373-nucleotide unclassified non-coding RNA is filed under the name uncultured Rikenellaceae bacterium. RNAcentral describes it as "contains 16S-23S intergenic spacer region". Lineage: Bacteria; Pseudomonadati; Bacteroidota; Bacteroidia; Bacteroidales; Rikenellaceae. The record is from RNAcentral.
UCUCGGCUUACACCGGCAGUCCCGCCAGAGUGCCCAGCUUGACCUGCUGGCAACUGACGGUAGGGGUUGCGCUCGUUAUGGGACUUAACCCGACACCUCACGGCACGAGCUGACGACAACCAUGCAGCACCUAGUUUCGUGCCCCGAAGGGAAGACCUGUUUCCAGAUCUGUCACUAACUUUCAAGCCCGGGUAAGGUUCCUCGCGUAUCAUCGAAUUAAACCACAUGUUCCUCCGCUUGUGCGGGCCCCCGUCAAUUCCUUUGAGUUUCAUUCUUGCGAACGUACUCCCCAGGUGGAUAACUUAUCGCUUUCGCUUAGUCACCGACAUUGUAUCGCCGACAACGAGUUAUCAUCGUUUACUGCGUGGACUAC